This 577-nucleotide long non-coding RNA is filed under the name Lathyrus oleraceus (garden pea). RNAcentral's name for it is "Pisum sativum (pea) long non-coding RNA (PSAT_LNC031547)". The record is from RNAcentral. Lineage: Eukaryota; Viridiplantae; Streptophyta; Magnoliopsida; Fabales; Fabaceae.
UGCAUCUGCAUUAAAACAGGUGAUGCAUUCAUCAUGCUGCACCAAGCCAAAUGAAUUAGCAGCUUGAAAGCCCUGCAAUACAGCAGACCAAAUCCAUUAGUUGCAGACCAACAUGCUCAUGCCUUAACGCUGCAGCAAAUAAACUUAACAAGUUAAACUCAGCUAACCAAUACUAAGUGAACCAACCAUCAUUAGUUUAAGACUGUACUAACAGAGCUAAAACAUCCAACCAUUAAGCGUCAUUUGUCAAGAUUAAAGAGGAUGGCAUAACAAACCUGUAAGGCAUGUUACAGACCAACAAAAGUCUUAGAAUUAUGUAGCAUAACCAUGUCCUUUAGGUUGGUAACAAGCAUAAGCACAGGCUUUGCAUCAGAGGUGACAUCCUGGUACAACAAGGGUCCACAUGUUGUAGAAUUUUCUUCUUGUGAUCAUCAUCAAACCACAUCCCUGCAUAAACUAGAAACAAAUGAAGGUUGGCAAUUGGAAUCAGUGUAGAGUGGAAUAUGUUCACAACCAAACUCAGUGACACAAAACCUGGUCAAAAUAGAUCAAGCAUGCUUGCAGCCAAGCCUUGAAN